GUGCUUGCUUCAGCAGCACAUAUACUAAAAAAUUGGAACGAUGCAGAGAUUAGCAUGGCCCCUGUGCAAGGAUGACACACAAAUUUGUGAAGCAUUCCCUAUUUCU
Molecule: small nuclear RNA, 106 nt
Organism: Leopardus geoffroyi (Geoffroy's cat)
Lineage: Eukaryota; Metazoa; Chordata; Mammalia; Carnivora; Felidae
Source: RefSeq, a predicted model, not a curated record